CAAUAACAAUAAUGAGCAAGAGCUUGGGAUUCAGAUCCAGAUUUGCAUUCAGUGUGGCCAAAAAUGGAUGGGAGAUGUCCAUCUGACUGCAAAGAAUACACCAUGUGGGUUCAGAUGAUGGUAAGUGAGUAUUUAUUUAUAUGUGGUGUAAAAGACUGGAGGUGGAGGAAAAACAAAUUAAAAACUGUUAGGUCACAUGCAUACAUACCCACCCAACAGCUAUUUUUACUGAAAUAAUGGAGCUGGGUUGGCAGGGGACAGCCUGAACUGGGGAAAAAAUACAGUGGUAGCCAUGAUGUGAACAGUAGGAAUCCAACAUGAAUAACAAACUUAUUUGGAUAAGUCACAUGUAUGGCCUGAAAAGUUACUAUUCAUGACCACUUUGACAGUAAGAAAUACAACAAUAAUAUGCCUUGGGUAAGGAAAAUAUAAAUCAACAUAAUGCAUC
Molecule: long non-coding RNA, 448 nt
Filed under: Physcomitrium patens
Lineage: Eukaryota; Viridiplantae; Streptophyta; Bryopsida; Funariales; Funariaceae
Description: long non-coding RNA (PPAT_LNC010378)
Source: RNAcentral